UGGUGUAGUGGUCUGUAUACCAGACUACAACUUUGGAGACCAGGGUUUGAAUCCCUG
This 57-nucleotide transfer RNA is filed under the name Anolis carolinensis (green anole). The record is from Rfam by way of RNAcentral. Lineage: Eukaryota; Metazoa; Chordata; Lepidosauria; Squamata; Anolidae.